CAGGUGCGCAAAGCACAGGAAGGAUGGGUCAAGGACAGGUCAGUGAUGCCCUUAGAUGGUCCGGGCUGCACGCGCACUACAGUGGUCGCCGGAAUURCCUGAUAAUUAUAAAGGCGAUCGAGAGGGAAUGAGCUUUGUAAGAGGCUCAGGAACGAGGAAUUGCUAGUAAUCGCGGACUCAUUAAGACGCGAUGAAUACGUCCCUGUUCUUUGUACACACCGCCCGUCGUUAUCGAAGAUGAAGACAGGCGCGAACGAUCUACCAGAAAGUGAGCGCAGGUCUUUAGAUCUGAUACAAGUCGUAACAAGGUAGCUGUAGGAGAACCUGUAGCUGG
Molecule: ribosomal RNA, 334 nt
Filed under: Loma embiotocia
Lineage: Eukaryota; Fungi; Microsporidia; Glugeidae
Description: SSU rRNA
Rfam family: Microsporidia small subunit ribosomal RNA
Source: RNAcentral